Vicia faba (fava bean) is the source of this 267-nucleotide non-coding RNA. Lineage: Eukaryota; Viridiplantae; Streptophyta; Magnoliopsida; Fabales; Fabaceae. The record is from the annotation of a GenBank genome assembly.
AUGGAAGUAGAAGAUCGUUGGUUGUGGACUUUACACCCCUCUUCGUGCUACACGGUUAGUAGUGCUUACAAAAAUUUAUCUGAAGCUGAUGUCAUCAAUAAUCAGACUAACUCCCAAUUUUUCUGUUUGAAGACUAUAUCGUUAAAGGUAUCUAUUUUUUUCUGGAGACUAUUACUAAAUCGUAUUCUGUCGAAGGACAAUCUGGAUAAGCGACAGACUGUUGUCACGGACGAUCAAAGAUGUGUGACAAUUUGUGGCAUGGGCUGA